RNAcentral lists this long non-coding RNA (1924 nucleotides) under Sarcophilus harrisii (Tasmanian devil). RNAcentral describes it as "lncRNA (ENSSHAG00000024631.1)". The record is from RNAcentral. Lineage: Eukaryota; Metazoa; Chordata; Mammalia; Dasyuromorphia; Dasyuridae.
GGAACUUCUCGGCACUGCCCAAGAGAACGUGUCUCCUCUCCUCCUGAUGGUACAGUGCUCGUUGGCUGUUCGGAAAAGCGAUUUCUGGUGAACCCGGCAGGGUCGUAGCAGGGGUGCGGAGGGCUGUAGUCGGAAGGAGGGCUUGCGCUUCCCUUUUGAACGUUGCCAGAGAACGAGCGGGCCCAGACUCCAGGAGAUCAGCGGGGUACAACUGGUAGAGUAUAGCAGAUGGGAGGAUGCUGUUUCAGAUAUUUCCCCCCCCGCCCCCCAGAAAUUUGGCGUACUUCAAACUAGACUUUUAUCUUCAGGAAAUUCGAAUAACAUUUCUUUCUGGUGUAAAAUCCCAUUUCAAUGAACUCAUUGGUGCUGACGUUGUUCAUUAGCUGUGGUCUGACCUCAUUAAUGUAUUGAAUUGAGAAUGCAUUCGGCCUAGUCCAGCAGCGUUUUGUAAAGUUUGGAUGGCGAUCCGAUCCGGCAGGAUGUCCUCGCAAGAAUCUUGCGAAAUAAGGCAACGCCGUGGAGAUCUGUCGGUCGAUUUCAUUUGGCAGAUUGACGAUUCAUUUCCCCCCCAGCUCGUCUGAUUUACACGUUUAUAUUUAAUUAUCCUCAUGUACCAAAAAAAUCAAUAGUGCUUUGGCGCUCACAAGCCACGCUGGUGAAACUGUCCAGCAGGAGAUAGACACCCCACCACUCGCCCCCAAACCAAGUAUUGCUGACUAAAUUCAAUGUUCACGCUUUAAAAUACUUUUAGUUACGGAUACUGUUCGCUCCAGUUUUGGGCUCAAGACGUUAACGUUGAAUUUGUGUCGUUCCACCGGGCCCCGCUGAGGCCCGGGUCGGAAGCAGUGACAUUCUAAUGGGCUUUUGCACUCUACUUCCUUUUCCUUUGGAAUGUGAAGGUCUGAAUGAGGGUUUCAAUUCUGAAUGUUUCCGCAUUUUUGAGAAGCCUUGCUUACAUUUUAUGGUGUAGUCAUUGGAAAUGGAAAAAUGGCAUUAUAUAUAUAUAUUAUAUAUAUAAAUAUAUAUUAUAAUACUCUCCUAUACUUUAUUUCAGUUACCAUCCCCAUAGAACUUGACAAGAAUUACUGCGACUGAAAGGUUUUUUGAGUCCUUAUGAAAACUUUAUUUAUGACAGUAUUCACAAGUAGCCUGAGAUGCAUUCUGUAGCUCAUCUCUUUGAGUUUCUGGACUGUAUGCUUCAAUUUCUGGAUGUGCAGCAGCUUACAUGUCUGAAAUUACUUGAAGGCAUCCAUCCCUUUGCACAGAGCUCCCCGCUGGGCCCUGGGCCAUCCCCGGUCACCUGGAGCCCCCCCGCCCGUCCCCGUCCCCCACCCCCGACUCUUUUUGCCACCAUUACUGAAGGGCAGUUGGACAGAGAGCGUUAAGAUGAUUUGCUGUGGCGCGGGCUGUAAACCUCAGCGGAGUUUACAGGCAGCCUCAGAUGUUUCAGCUUUAAACAAUUACAUUAGGGUGCAAGGUCUGUGUUUUAGUUCUAGAAAACGUGUGCAAUAUGUUAACGAUGGCUGUGGUUGCCACCAAGUGCCUCGUUCACCUUUAAAUACUGUUAGAGCGCGUCCUGCAUGCAGGUGGAAGGGGCGGAGCUGGGCCCUGACGCGGGCCUUCCCAGGGGCCUCUCCUCUGCCCGCUCACAUUUUCAGUCUGUUUCCCUAUAGAGUAUAUAUCCUAAAAAAGUCCAGUCUGUUCAACAGCCUUACUCGGAUUCAGCCUCUUGAGAUACUCUAGUGCUGUGCCUCAGUGGCUCCGUGUGUGAUGCAAUGCACUGAGGAUACACAACCACCAUUCGAUGUGUACAGGAUAAUUAAUGCCUCAUACAAAUCAGUUGUCCAUUUGUUAUUGUGUUUGUUAACCCUUUAUCUCUUAGUGUUAUAAACUCCACUUAAAACUGAUUAAAGUCUCAUUCUUG